Molecule: ribosomal RNA, 253 nt
Filed under: uncultured bacterium
Lineage: Bacteria
Description: partial 16S ribosomal RNA
Rfam family: Bacterial small subunit ribosomal RNA
Source: RNAcentral
UACGGAGGGUGCAAGCGUUAUCCGGAUUUACUGGGUUUAAAGGGUGCGUAGGUGGAUAAUUAAGUCAGUGGUGAAAUCUUCAGGCUUAACCUGGAAACUGCCAUUGAUACUAUUUAUCUUGAAUACUUUGGAGGUAAGCGGAAUAUGUCAUGUAGCGGUGAAAUGCUUAGAUAUGACAUAGAACACCAAUUGCGAAGGCAGCUUACUACACAGUUAUUGACACUGAGGCACGAAAGCGUGGGGAUCAAACAGG